Molecule: ribosomal RNA, 377 nt
Filed under: uncultured Terasakiella sp.
Lineage: Bacteria; Pseudomonadati; Pseudomonadota; Alphaproteobacteria; Rhodospirillales; Terasakiellaceae
Description: bacterial SSU rRNA
Rfam family: Bacterial small subunit ribosomal RNA
Source: RNAcentral
GCGUUGUUCGGAUUUACUGGGCGUAAAGAGCAUGUAGGCGGAUUGGUCAGUUGGGGGUGAAAUCCCGGAGCUCAACUCCGGAACUGCCUCCAAUACUGCCAAUCUAGAGUCCGUAAGGGGGUGGUGUAAUUCCGAGUGUAGAGGUGAAAUUCGUAGAUAUUCGGAGGAACACCAGUGGCGAAGGCGACCACCUGGUACGGUACUGACGCUGAGAUGCGAAAGCGUGGGGAGCAAACAGGAUUAGAUACCCUGGUAGUCCACGCCGUAAACGAUGAGUGCUAGUUGUCAGGGUGUUUACACCUUGGUGACGCAGCUAACGCAUAAAGCACUCCGCCUGGGGAGUACGGUCGCAAGAUUAAAACUCAAAGGAAUUGACG